CUGUGAGCUCGAUGAGUAGGGCGGGACACGUGGUAUCCUGUCUGAAUAUGGGGGGACCAUCCUCCAAGGCUAAAUACUCCUGACUGACCGAUAGUGAACCAGUACCGUGAGGGAAAGGCGAAAAGAACCCCGGCGAGGGGAGUGAAAAAGAACCUGAAACCGUGUACGUACAAGCAGUGGGAGCACGCUUAGGCGUGUGACUGCGUACCUUUUGUAUAAUGGGUCAGCGACUUAUAUUCUGUAGCAAGGUUAACCGAAUAGGGGAGCCGAAGGGAAACCGAGUCUUAACUGGGCGUUAAGUUGCAGGGUAUAGACCCGAAACCCGGUGAUCUAGCCAUGGGCAGGUUGAAGGUUGGGUAACACUAACUGGAGGACCGAACCGACUAAUGUUGAAAAAUUAGCGGAUGACUUGUGGCUGGGGGUGAAAGGCCAAUCAAACCGGGAGAUAGCUGGUUCUCCCCGAAAGCUAUUUAGGUAGCGCCUCGUGAAUUCAUCUCCGGGGGUAGAGCACUGUUUCGGCAAGGGGGUCAUCCCGACUUACCAACCCGAUGCAAACUGCGAAUACCGGAGAAUGUUAUCACGGGAGACACACGGCGGGUGCUAACGUCCGUCGUGAAGAGGGAAACAACCCAGACCGCCAGCUAAGGUCCCAAAGUCAUGGUUAAGUGGGAAACGAUGUGGGAAGGCCCAGACAGCCAGGAUGUUGGCUUAGAAGCAGCCAUCAUUUAAAGAAAGCGUAAUAGCUCACUGGUCGAGUCGGCCUGCGCGGAAGAUGUAACGGGGCUAAACCAUGCACCGAAGCUGCGGCAGCGACACUAUGUGUUGUUGGGUAGGGGAGCGUUCUGUAAGCCUGUGAAGGUGUACUGUGAGGUAUGCUGGAGGUAUCAGAAGUGCGAAUGCUGACAUAAGUAACGAUAAAGCGGGUGAAAAGCCCGCUCGCCGGAAGACCAAGGGUUCCUGUCCAACGUUAAUCGGGGCAGGGUGAGUCGACCCCUAAGGCGAGGCCGAAAGGCGUAGUCGAUGGGAAACAGGUUAAUAUUCCUGUACUUGGUGUUACUGCGAAGGGGGGACGGAGAAGGCUAUGUUGGCCGGGCGACGGUUGUCCCGGUUUAAGCGUGUAGGCUGGU
This 1127-nucleotide ribosomal RNA is filed under the name Escherichia coli. Its description in RNAcentral is "partial 23S ribosomal RNA". It matches the Rfam family "Bacterial large subunit ribosomal RNA", at positions 397 to 1529 of the family's 2925-position model. Lineage: Bacteria; Pseudomonadati; Pseudomonadota; Gammaproteobacteria; Enterobacterales; Enterobacteriaceae. The record is from RNAcentral.